CAGCACCUCAAGUGGUCAGGAUGAUUAUUGGGCCUAAAGCAUCCGUAGCCGGCUCUGUAAGUUUUCGGUUAAAUCUGUAUGCUCAACAUACAGGCUGCCGGGAAUACUGCAGAGCUAGGGAGUGGGAGAGGUAGACGGUACUCGGUAGGAAGGGGUAAAAUCCUUUGAUCUAUUGAUGACCACCUGUGGCGAAGGCGGCCUACCAGAACACGUCCGACGGUGAGGGAUGAAAGCUGGGGGAGCAAACCGGAUUAGAUACCCGAGUAGUCC
RNAcentral lists this ribosomal RNA (270 nucleotides) under uncultured archaeon. RNAcentral's name for it is "partial 16S ribosomal RNA". It matches the Rfam family "Archaeal small subunit ribosomal RNA", at positions 477 to 747 of the family's 1478-position model. The record is from RNAcentral.